This 758-nucleotide ribosomal RNA is filed under the name uncultured Streptococcus sp. RNAcentral's name for it is "bacterial SSU rRNA". It matches the Rfam family "Bacterial small subunit ribosomal RNA", at positions 42 to 776 of the family's 1533-position model. Lineage: Bacteria; Bacillati; Bacillota; Bacilli; Lactobacillales; Streptococcaceae. The record is from RNAcentral.
GAGAGCGCAAAAAAACAAGGAAGUUGAACGAAAGAACUUGGUGAUUGUCCCGUAAACGAUGAGUUGCGAAACGGGUGAGAAACAAGUAGGUAACCUGCCUCUUCAGCGGGGGAUAACUUUUGGAAACGAUAGCUAAUACCCGCAUAAAAGACGAUAUCGCAUGAUAUUGAUUUGAAAGGUGCAAAUGCAUCACUAAGAGAUGGACCUGCGUUGUAUUAGCUAGUUGGUGAGGUAACGGCUCACCAAGGCAACGAUACAUAGCCGACCUGAGAGGGUGAUCGGCCACACUGGGACUGAGACACGGCCCAGACUCCUACGGGAGGCAGCAGUAGGGAAUCUUCGGCAAUGGGGGCAACCCUGACCGAGCAACGCCGCGUGAGUGAAGGAGGUUUUCGGAUCGUAAAGCUCUGUUGUAAGAGAAGAACGAGUGUGAGAGUGGAAAGUCCACACUGUGACGGUAACUUACCAGAAAGGGACGGCUAACUACGUGCCAGCAGCCGCGGUAAUACGUAGGUCCCGAGCGUUAUCCGGAUUUAUUGGGCGUAAAGCGAGCGCAGGCGGUUAGAUAAGUCUGAAGUUAAAGGCUGUGGCUUAACCAUAGUACGCUUUGGAAACUGUUUAACUUGAGUGCAGAAGGGGAGAGUGGAAUUCCAUGUGUAGCGGUGAAAUGCGUAGAUAUAUGGAGGAACACCGGUGGCGAAAGCGGCUCUCUGGUCUGUAACUGACGCUGAGGCUCGAAAGCGUGGGGAGCAAACAGG